Molecule: ribosomal RNA, 1371 nt
Filed under: Brenneria salicis
Lineage: Bacteria; Pseudomonadati; Pseudomonadota; Gammaproteobacteria; Enterobacterales; Pectobacteriaceae
Description: bacterial SSU rRNA
Rfam family: Bacterial small subunit ribosomal RNA
Source: RNAcentral
CACAGAGGAGCUUGCUCCUUGGGUGACGAGCGGCGGACGGGUGAGUAAAGUCUGGGGAUCUGCCUGAUGGAGGGGGAUAACUACUGGAAACGGUAGCUAAUACCGCAUGACGUCUUCGGACCAAAGUGGGGGACCUUCGGGCCUCACGCCAUGAGAUGAACCCAGAUGGGAUUAGCUGGUAGGUGAGGUAACGGCUCACCUAGGCGACGAUCCCUAGCUGGUCUGAGAGGAUGACCAGCCACACUGGAACUGAGACACGGUCCAGACUCCUACGGGAGGCAGCAGUGGGGAAUAUUGCACAAUGGGGGAAACCCUGAUGCAGCCAUGCCGCGUGUGUGAAGAAGGCCUUCGGGUUGUAAAGCACUUUCAGCGGGGAGGAAGGCAAUAAACUUAAUAAGUUUGUUGAUUGACGUUACCCGCAGAAGAAGCACCGGCUAACUCCGUGCCAGCAGCCGCGGUAAUACGGAGGGUGCAAGCGUUAAUCGGAAUGACUGGGCGUAAAGCGCACGCAGGCGGUCUGUUAAGUUGGAUGUGAAAUCCCCGGGCUCAACCCGGGAACAGCAUUCAAAACUGACAGGCUAGAGUCUCGUAGAGGGGGGUAGAAUUCCAGGUGUAGCGGUGAAAUGCGUAGAGAUCUGGAGGAAUACCGGUGGCGAAGGCGGCCCCCUGGACGAAGACUGACGCUCAGGUGCGAAAGCGUGGGGAGCAAACAGGAUUAGAUACCCUGGUAGUCCACGCCGUAAACGAUGUCGACUUGGAGGCUGUGGUCUUGAACCGUGGCUUCCGGAGCUAACGCGUUAAGUCGACCGCCUGGGGAGUACGGCCGCAAGGUUAAAACUCAAAUGAAUUGACGGGGGCCCGCACAAGCGGUGGAGCAUGUGGUUUAAUUCGAUGCAACGCGAAGAACCUUACCUACUCUUGACAUCCAGAGAAGACUGUAGAGAUACGGUUGUGCCUUCGGGAGCUCUGAGACAGGUGCUGCAUGGCUGUCGUCAGCUCGUGUUGUGAAAUGUUGGGUUAAGUCCCGCAACGAGCGCAACCCUUAUCCUUUGUUGCCAGCGAUACGGUCGGGAACUCAAAGGAGACUGCCGGUGAUAAACCGGAGGAAGGUGGGGAUGACGUCAAGUCAUCAUGGCCCUUACGAGUAGGGCUACACACGUGCUACAAUGGCGCAUACAAAGAGAAGCGAGCCUGCGAGGGUGAGCGGACCUCAUAAAGUGCGUCGUAGUCCGGAUUGGAGUCUGCAACUCGACUCCAUGAAGUCGGAAUCGCUAGUAAUCGUAGAUCAGAAUGCUACGGUGAAUACGUUCCCGGGCCUUGUACACACCGCCCGUCACACCAUGGGAGUGGGUUGCAAAAGAAGUAGGUAGC